UACAGAGGGUGCGAGCGUUGUCCGGAAUCACUGGGCGUAAAGGGCGCGUAGGUGGCGACCCAAGUCGAUGGUGAAAGCUCGCCGCUCAACGGCGAGUCGGCCACCGAUACUGGGUUGCUGGAGCACUGUAGAGGCAGAUGGAAUUCCGGGUGUAGCGGUGGAAUGCGUAGAGAUCCGGGAAGAACACCGGUGGCGAAGGCGGUCUGCUGGGCAGUUGCUGACACUGAGGCGCGGACAGCGUGGGGAGCAAACAGG
This 255-nucleotide ribosomal RNA is filed under the name uncultured bacterium. Its description in RNAcentral is "partial 16S ribosomal RNA". It matches the Rfam family "Bacterial small subunit ribosomal RNA", at positions 524 to 776 of the family's 1533-position model. The record is from RNAcentral.